GUCAGGAUGGCCGAGCGGUCUAAGGCGCUGCGUUCAGGUUUGCACCCUGGAGCCGUGGGUUCGAAUCCCACUUCUGACA
Non-coding RNA from Carassius carassius (crucian carp), 79 nucleotides. The record is from the annotation of a RefSeq genome assembly. Lineage: Eukaryota; Metazoa; Chordata; Actinopteri; Cypriniformes; Cyprinidae.